GGUGCCAUUACCGCUUUGUACUUUAUCUUGUGGGGAAAGGGUCUUAAAGCCUGUGGACCUCUGAGGGCUGUACUUGCCGAGUAUUCUGGUGCUGUUCUUGGAGUGCUUUCAGCUGUUUUGCAUGGUCGGAGGGGCUUUGUUUGGAAAAAGGUUGUAGGGGGUAACUGGAUGUAUGUGCUAGGCCACCAAUUCUAUUUACGUAUCAUAGGAAGAAUAAGAAAAAACAUGAAACCAAUGAGGGGGAGACAAGUGGCAAAGAAGAUCAUAACCAUGAAACCAAUCCCGAGCAGGCACGUGUUGAAGGGGAAGAAAGCAAGGAGGAUGGGGACCAGAGAGGGGACCCACAGUCCGUUAGUAGUGGGGAUUAAAAGGGGGACAGGAGGCACAGAGAAGGGUACGAAUGUUUUGAAGCAGAAGGCAGGGCAGCCACCUCCUGAGAGGGGAGAGUGCAGCACAGGUUACCGUUUGUUUAUUUUGUGUUUUUUUUGUGUUUUAAGUAGCUGGUUGGUAGCAAGGAAGGAGGGCAGAAAUUCCUUGUUAUUGUGUUUUGUUUUUUCCUUUUCUCUGUGUGUAUUGUUCGCAAGCUUGAGUGUUCCUACAAGCUCAGUGAGACUAUAUUAUUAAGCUUAGUGUUAUUUUGUUAUUUAGUUCUUGGGCUGUAAUCUGAAUUUUGAAAGGAAAUAGAAAAGGAACUGGGAGUGUCUUAACAUUUUUGGUAUCAGAGCAUCAUACCUGGGCAAAACGUAUCCAUGACGAAAGCAGUGGAAGAAAGGUUGGAGACGGUGGAGUUGGAAAUGAAAAGGCUACCGGUGAUAGAGGAGAAUAUAGCCUUGUUAGCCAAAAGCAUCACGGAAAUGAACUCUCAGAUCGACAAACAGGCGCAACAGCAGCAGGUGAUAUUGAAGUACAUUGAAGGAAUCGUUAAAGAAGAUUCUCCCGAACGAAAGAUAGAAGAAGGAUCUACUAGCAAGGUCACCAUGGCAGAGGCGUCACCUCUAGCGAUGGUUGAAGAGCCGAAGCUGGAAACGAAAACAGAGGAAGAGCGAUCAGUAGAUCGGAGUAAGUUUAAGAAGGUGGAGAUGCCAGUAUUCGAUGGAACCGAACCCGACUCAUGGCUUUUCCGAGCAGACCGAUAUUUUAAGAUACACAACCUGACGGAUUCAGAGAAACUCACGGUGGCGGUGAUCAGUUUCGAUGGGCCUGCGUUGGAUUGGUACCGAUCACAAGAAGAGCGGGAAGCUUUUGCCGGCUGGGAUGAUUUAAAACAGAAAAUGCUGGUGAGGUUCCGAGCGACCAGGGAAGGAACGUUGGUGGGCAGGUUCUUAACGAUCAAGCAGGAGACCACAGUCGAGGAAUACCGGAACCGUUUCGACAAGCUACUGGCUCCGGUGGCUUCCCUACCUACGGUGGUGUUAGAAGAAACGUUUAUGAACGGGUUAAGCCCAUGGUUGAAGUCUGAAGUAGAAACCCUGGAGCCCAAUGGGCUGGCCCAGAUGAUGAAGCUGGCUUUGAAGAUAGAAAAUAGGGAAAUGGUCCGAAGGGAAUGUGGGCUGAUCAGUGCCUACGAUAGUAAAACGGGCCAUAAACCCCUGCAAACUAAGAACACCAUAGCGACAGCCACGAAAGAAGGAACGACCAGUGGAAGUUGGCCAAUGAGAACGAUCACCCUAAGAGAGGUAGCUACGGGGGAUAACCGACGGGAAGGGCCCACGAAAAGGUUGUCUGACGCAGAGUUCCAAGCUCGAAGAGAAAAGGGCUUGUGUUUCCGUUGUGGGGAGAAGUACUUUGCAGGGCAUCGAUGCAAAUUGAAAGAACAUAAGGAGCUCCGGAUGCUCGUAGUCAAAGAAGGAGGGGAAGAGUUAGAGAUUGUGGAGGAGGAAUUCUUUGAUGCGGAGGCUGAGAUGAAACAAGUAGACGUGCAAGGCGUGGAGAACUUAAACAUCGAAUUGUCGCUUAACUCCGUGGUGGGAUUGAAUAACCCGGGAACUAUGAAGGUCAAGGGAAAGGUAGGAGGAGAAGAGGUAGUGAUUCUGAUCGACUGUGGGGCGACACACAACUUCAUUGCGGAAGAUUUGGUGACCAGAUUGGGAGUAACAUUGCAGGAGACACCGAACUAUGGAGUGAUCCUGGGGUCGGGAACAGCAGUCAAAGGGAAGGGGGUGUGCCAGGAUGUCGAGGUGCACUUGGAAGGUUGGAAGGUGACAGAUAGCUUCCUACCUCUGCAGCUGGGAGGAGUAGACAUGAUCCUAGGGAUGCAGUGGCUCCACUCUCUGGGAGUGACCGAAGUCGACUGGAAAAGGCUGGUGUUGACAUUCCAUCAUCAGGGGAAGAAGGUGGUGAUACGGGGGGAUCCGAGCCUUACCAAAGCUCGAGUAAGUUUGAAGAAUCUGAUGAAAUCGUGGGGAGCUGAUGAUCAGGGGUUCCUCGUGGAGUGCAGAACCAUAGAGUGUGGGCCGUUGGAAGAGUAUGAACAGGAUAGAGAGCCAGGGGAGAUGAACGCGGAACCAAUAGCAGCCCUGCUCCAGCGGUUUGCUCGCGUGUUUGAAUGGCCCUCAACACUCCCACCCCAGCGUGGCAUUGAUCACCACAUUUACUUGAAGAGUGGAGCUGAUCCAGCCAACGUAAGGCCAUACCGGUACGCGCAUCAUCAAAAGGAAGAAAUGGAAAGACUGGUGGAUGAGAUGUUGACCUCAGGGAUUAUUCGUCCGAGCAAAAGCCCGUACUCCAGCCCGGUUCUGUUAGUGAGAAAGAGAGACGGAAGCUGGCGGUUCUGUGUAGACUAUCGGGCAUUGAACAACGUCACGAUCCCCGACAAGUUCCCUAUACCGGUGAUAGAAGAAUUGUUUGAUGAAUUGAAGGGGGCUAGUGUGUUUUCUAAAAUCGAUCUCAAAGCCGGUUAUCAUCAAAUAAGAAUGUGCCCAGAAGACAUCGAGAAGACCGCGUUCAGAACGCAUGAAGGGCAUUAUGAAUUCCUGGUGAUGCCGUUUGGAUUAACCAAUGCUCCCUCGACUUUUCAAGCCCUGAUGAAUCAAGUGUUUAAGCCGUAUUUGAGAAGGUUUGUGCUGGUAUUCUUCGAUGAUAUUUUAGUGUAUAGCCAAGGGAUGGAAGAGCACCUCCAGCACUUAGAAGUGGUCCUAGGAUUACUCCAAGAAAAGGAGUUAUAUGUGAAUAUGGAGAAAUGCAGCUUUGCAAAACCGCGGAUUAGUUACUUGGGGCAUUUCAUUUCGGAACAAGGUAUCGAAGCAGAUCCAGAAAAGAUACGGGCAGUGAGUGAAUGGCCAACUCCGGCUAAUGUGCGGGAAGUUAGGGGCUUCCUAGGACUGACGGGCUACUACCGGCGUUUUGUUAAGAAUUAUGGAACAAUAGCCGCGCCACUUACCCAGCUGCUUAAGAAAGGUGCGUACAAAUGGGGUGAAGAAGAGGAGGCAGCCUUUGGUAAACUUAAGAGAGCCAUGAUGACUCUUCCGGUACUCACUAUGCCCGACUUCAGCCUGCCUUUCGAAAUUGAAUCCGAUGCUUCAGGGUUCGGAGUGGGGGCUGUGCUGACUCAAUGCCGGAAGCCGGUGGCGUAUUUCAGUAAAACUUUGAGUAUUCGAGACAGAUCAAGGCCAGUGUACGAAAGAGAAUUAAUUGCCGUAGUCCUUGCAGUCCAGAGAUGGCGGCCAUACCUACUGGGAAGGAAGUUCACGGUAAAGACAGACCAAAGAUCGCUGAAGUAUUUGUUGGAACAACGGGUGGUGCAGCCCCAAUACCAGAAGUGGGUAGCAAAACUCUUGGGGUAUUCGUUUGAGGUAGUUUACCAACCCGGGCUGGAAAACAAAGCAGCCGACGCCUUAUCCAGGAUAACUCCAACAGCACAACUGAACCAAAUUACAGCUCCUGCUUUGAUAGAUGUAGAGAUCCUCAAAGAAGAAACCAGGCAAGAUCCAGCGCUGCGAGAAAUCAUCCGGUUGAUCGAAGAACAAGGGAUGGAGAUACCCCAUUACACCCUGCAGCAGGGGGUGCUGAAGUUUAAGGGAAGAUUGGUAGUCUCAAACAAAUCCACCUUGCUUCCCACGAUAUUGCACACCUACCAUGACUCUGUGUUCGGAGGACACUCGGGGUUCUUAAGAACUUAUAAGCGGCUGGCUGGGGAAAUUUAUUGGAAGGGAAUGAAAAGGGAUGUUAUGCGAUACUGUGAAGAGUGUGCCAUCUGCCAACGAAACAAGUCAUCAGCCUUAACCCCAGCAGGGCUACUGAUGCCUUUAGAAAUUCCAGAUGCAAUAUGGAGUGAUAUCUCCAUGGACUUCAUUGAAGGACUACCAAAAUCCAAGGGAUGGGAUGUGAUCCUGGUGGUGGUGGAUAGGUUGAGUAAAUAUAGUCAUUUCCUGUUGCUGAAGCAUCCGUUUACGGCCAAGAUGGUGGCUGAAACCUUUAUAAAGGAAGUGGUCAGACUCCAUGGGUACCCGAGGUCUAUAGUGUCCGACAGGGACAAGGUUUUCCUAAGCCAUUUCUGGAAGGAACUCUUCCGUCUGGCAGGUACUAAGCUGAACAGGAGCUCCUCAUAUCACCCCCAAUCGGAUGGGCAGACCGAGGUGGUAAAUAAAAGUGUCGAGACAUACUUGAGGUGCUUUUGUGGGGAAAAACCACAGGAGUGGAGCCAGUGGUUACAUUGGGCCGAAUACUGGUACAAUACAACCUAUCAUAGUUCGAUUGGAAUUACUCCUUUUCAAGCCGUCUAUGGACGUUUACCUCCUCCCUUGAUUUAUUAUGGAGAUAUGGAGACACCUAAUUCAACGCUAGACCAGCAGCUGAAAGACAGGGAUAUAACGCUGGGGGCCUUGAAGGAACACUUGAAACUAGCACAAGAACGGAUGAAGAAACAAGCUGACAGUAAACGAAGGGAAGUAGAAUUUCAGGAAGGGGACAUGGUGUUUCUCAAAUUGCGUCCUUACAGACAGGCAUCCAUCAGAAAGAAAAGAAAUGAAAAGCUGUCUCCAAAGUAUUUCGGACCGUAUCGAGUCUUAGAAAGGAUCGGGAAGGUGGCAUAUAGACUUGAACUACCCGCUGAGGCUGCUAUCCACCCCGUGUUCCAUGUAUCCCAGUUGAAGAAAGCGGUCGGAAGAGGAGAAACCGUACAAUCAUUGACUCCAUACAUCAAUGAAAACCACGAAUGGAUCACACAACCGGAAGAGGUUUACGGCUAUCGCAAGAAUCCAUCUACUAGGGAAUGGGAAGCCUUGAUCAGUUGGAAAGGACUGCCCCCACACGAGGCGACAUGGGAGAGUUGCACUGACAUGAAAUAUCAAUUUCCGGAAUUCCACCUUGAGGACAAGGUGGAUUUGGAAGAGGAGAGUGAUGCUAGGCCACCAAUUCUAUUUACGUAUCAUAGGAAGAAUAAGAAAAAACAUGAAACCAAUGAGGGGGAGACAAGUGGCAAAGAAGAUCAUAACCAUGAAACCAAUCCCGAGCAGGCACGUGUUGAAGGGGAAGAAAGCAAGGAGGAUGGGGACCAGAGAGGGGACCCACAGUCCGUUAGUAGUGGGGAUUAAAAGGGGGACAGGAGGCACAGAGAAGGGUACGAAUGUUUUGAAGCAGAAGGCAGGGCAGCCACCUCCUGAGAGGGGAGAGUGCAGCACAGGUUGGCGGUCUCAUUGCAAUGUUGGUAUCUUUCUACUUCUUAGCACAAGGGUGGGCCAUGGCCACACAUUUUCCCUUCUAUAUCCUUUGGAAGUUCAAUUGGAACUGUAUGUAUGAAAGCAAGUGGCUGUGAUUAUUUGUUGCAACCUUUGGAUUCUUUUUCUUCUUUUUCGUACAUUAUUGUUAUUAUUAUUUAUUUAUCAUUCCUAUUUCUUUUAGUAUUUCUGCAUUUUCAUUCCUAUAUCAAAAAAAUGUUGUGAACUUUUAACUUGA
RNA transcript from Cucumis melo (muskmelon), 5892 nucleotides. It is a transcript of the gene named transposon Tf2-1 polyprotein, with no coding region annotated. The transcript has 4 exons. Lineage: Eukaryota; Viridiplantae; Streptophyta; Magnoliopsida; Cucurbitales; Cucurbitaceae. The record is from RefSeq and is a predicted model, not a curated record.